This 72-nucleotide transfer RNA is filed under the name Camelus dromedarius (Arabian camel). It matches the Rfam family "tRNA". Rfam says of the family: Transfer RNA (tRNA) molecules are approximately 80 nucleotides in length. Their secondary structure includes four short double-helical elements and three loops (D, anti-codon, and T loops). RNAcentral also lists the same sequence under 1 other name. The record is from Rfam by way of RNAcentral. Lineage: Eukaryota; Metazoa; Chordata; Mammalia; Artiodactyla; Camelidae.
GAGGGUGUAGCUCAGUGGUAGAGCGCGUGCUUAGCAUGCAUGAGGUCCUGGGUUCAAUCCCCAGUACUGCUA